This 301-nucleotide ribosomal RNA is filed under the name uncultured bacterium. Its description in RNAcentral is "partial 16S ribosomal RNA". It matches the Rfam family "Bacterial small subunit ribosomal RNA", at positions 509 to 807 of the family's 1533-position model. The record is from RNAcentral.
CAGCAGCCGCGGUAAUACGAAGGGGGCUAGCGUUGCUCGGAAUGACUAGGCGUAAAGGGCGCGUAGGCGGCGGCCAAAGUCAGGCGUGAAAUUCCCGGGCUCAACCUGGGGGCUGCGUUUUAUACUUGGUUGCUUGAGUGGGGAAGAGGGUCGUGGAACUCCCAGUGUAGAGGUGAAAUUGGUAGAUAUUGGGAAGAACACCGGUGGCGAAGGCGGCGACCUGGUCCUUUACUGACGCUGAGGCGCGAAAGCGUGGGGAGCGAACAGGAUUAGAUACCCCAGUAGUCCCUGUCUCUUAUAC